RNAcentral lists this long non-coding RNA (793 nucleotides) under Gossypium barbadense (sea-island cotton). RNAcentral describes it as "long non-coding RNA (GBAR_LNC000316)". Lineage: Eukaryota; Viridiplantae; Streptophyta; Magnoliopsida; Malvales; Malvaceae. The record is from RNAcentral.
AAAACUCUCCACUUCUCUCUCAAAGGCCCCAAGUCCGGUCGUCGGCCCGGCGAGUCACCGUCGCUCCGGCCACCGGCCACCGGUCACCGACGAUGGCGCCACCAUCCACGGUGGCUGAAAAAUCACCCGAACUCUCAUUUUUUGUAUUUUUUCGCUAGAUCCCCUUUUUGUAGUUGAAAUCACCCAAAAUUAAAGCCAAAGUUCAAAAAAAGGAAAACACUUUCGGUUUUUUUCUCCCCAACGCAACCCUCGACGAAUUCUUUUAGGAACUUGGAGGUCCUCCACAUCGGAACCCACCCACGACGGCAAAGAACUGAUUGCUAGGUGAAUUUUUAUUAUAUAUAUAUAUAUAAAUGAUAUAAUAGAUUCAAAGAAAAAAGAAAAAAAUAAAAAAUAUAACCUUUGAAGUGUUUUUUGAUUUUGUAUUUGAAUUGCUUUGUUUUGUGUUUUUUUGUUUCAAUUUAUAUUUCAAAAAAACAAUCCCCCUUUAUAGUUGGUUUUUGUAGGCUUUUUAUAGCUAAAUUAUAGUAUUAUUUUUCUAUUUUUUCUUUAAUGUUUGAUACUGUUUCUUUUGUGUGUGGCUUCUUCUUUGCAGGUGGUAGUUGAGUCAACAGCAGGACGGGGACAGUUGGCGGUGGCAGACCUCGAGCGAUGAAAGAGGAACGUCAGCUAGGGUUUUUGAUUUUACUGAAAAGAGUUUAGGUUGUGGGCCAUUUGGACUAUUAGGGUUUUAAUUUUUUUGGGCUUUGUAAUUUAAGUAAUAAGUUUUGUUUAUUUUUAUUUUCAUAUGUUU